GGUCUUGACAUCCACAGAAUUUCCCAGAGAUGGGAAGUGCCUUCGGGAACUGUGAGACAGGUGCUGCAUGGCUGUCGUCAGCUCGUGUUGUGAAAUGUUGGGUUAAGUCCCGCAACGAGCGCAACCCUUAUCCUUUGUUGCCAGCACGUGAUGGUGGGAACUCAAAGGAGACUGCCGGUGAUAAACCGGAGGAAGGUGGGGAUGACGUCAAGUCAUUAUGGCCCUUACGACCAGGGCUACACACGUGCUACAAUGGCGCAUACAAAGAGAAGCGACCUCGCGAGAGCAAGCGGACCUCAUAAAGUGCGUCGUAGUCCGGAUUGGAGUCUGCAACCCGACUCCAUGAAGUCGGAAUCGCUAGUAAUCGUGGAUCAGAAUGCCACGGUGAAUACGUUCCCGGGCCUUGUACACACCGCCCGUCACACCAUGGGAGUGGGUUGCAAAAGAAGUAGGUAGCUUAACCUCCGGGAGGGCGCUUACCACUUUGUGAUUCAUGACUGGGGUGAAGUCGUAACAAGGUAAGCGUACGUGU
This 532-nucleotide ribosomal RNA is filed under the name uncultured bacterium. Its description in RNAcentral is "bacterial SSU rRNA". It matches the Rfam family "Bacterial small subunit ribosomal RNA", at positions 977 to 1509 of the family's 1533-position model. The record is from RNAcentral.